UAAAAAAAUCUUAUUGUCUGAAGGUACAAGGUACAAGGCUUCAAAAACUUAAAAUACCUUCUUGUAAAUGCCCAAAAGGCCUAGAGCUUAGGUAUUAAUGCGGUGGCAUAGCAUUUUUCUCAAAUGCAAUCUUGUUUUGUUUUUUUUUCUGUAUUUUUAAAUCCAUUGUUUUUGUGUCGCCUCUACGGAGUAGUGGCGACAUAUAGGGAUCACUUCUCCGUCGUCUGUCUGUCCGUCUGUCUGUCUGUCCGUCCGUCCGUCACAAAACUUGUCCGGACUACUCCUCAUAAACUACUGGUGCAAUUUCAUCCAAACUUUACAGGAAUGAUCAGUACCAAGUUUAGUUGUGCAUAUUGUCAGGAUUUUCCGGUUCAAUGAUUUUUGUCAGAGUUAUGGCCCUUUAAUAAUUUUUAUUUUUAAAGUUUGUCCGGACUACUUCUCUUAUACCACUAAUGCAAUUUCAGUGAAACUUUACAGGAUUGAUCUGUAGCUCAAGUCCUUGCGCAUAUUGCACGGGUUUUCCGGUUGAAUGAUUUUUGGCCGAGUUAUGGCCCUUUGAUAAAAAGGUUUCUUUUUCUGUGUGUUGCCAGAUACGCAAAAGCUUGUCCGGACUACUCCUCAUAAACUACUGGUGCAAUUUCAUCCAAAAUUUACAGGAAUGAUCAGUACAAAGUGGUUAGUCUAGUUGUGCACUGUCCGUCUGUCUGUCCGUCUGUCACAAAAUUUGUCCCAACAUGAAAUUGGCCAUCAUGAGGCGACACAUGUGAUUACUGAUCGCUCUUGUUUUUUGUUAUAAAUGUUAUUUUUUCUGUCUGAAUAUGUGAAACGUUUAUUUUUGGAUUUUUGUGUGUGCUGUGAUACAGUGCAACAGAGUUAUUUUAUUUUUAUACCCCCGCACAACAAAGUUGUAAGGGGGGGUAUACUGGAAUCAGCUUGUCCGUCCGGCUGUCCGGCCGGCCGUCGGUUUUUUCUUGUCCGCCCAAUAACUUAAGAUUCCUUUGACCCUUAGUCUUCAUAUUUGGCAUGGAGGUUAGUCAUGAUUAGUAGAUGACCCCUAUUGAUUUUGAGGUCACUAGGUCAAAGGUCAAGGUCACAGGGGCCUUGACUUCAAAAAGCUUGUCCGCCCAAUAAUUUAAGAUUCCUUUGACCCACAGUCUUCAUAUUUGGCAUGGAGGUUAGUCAUGAUUAGUAGAUGACCCCUAUUGAUUUUGAGGUCACCAGGUCAAAGGUCAAGGUCACAGGGGCCUUGACUUCAAAAAGCUUGUCCGCCCAAUAAUUUAAGAUUCCUUUGACCCACAGUCUUCAUAUUUGGCAUGGAUGUUGAUCAUGACUAUAAGAUGACCCCUACUGAUUUUGAGGUCACUGGGUCAAAGGUCAAGGUCACAGGGACCUUGACAAAAAAAAGCUUUUCUUCUCAAUUGCUAAAGAAUGUCCUGUCCGCAAUGUAUUGAUUUUGACAUUUUCACAUUUGAAGCAUGUAGAAUACAUAACUUAACAAUGCACUGGCUUAGUAACCCCAGAUUUGGCAGGGAGGUUGUCCUUGAGCUCUAAAUGGCCACUGUGGAUUCUGACAAAGUGGUAUGCGGGGGUAUUCACGCCAUGAUAGUGGCAGUUCUAGUUACUACAGAAAUAAAGAAAUCCACCUACAUUUCCUUGUUAAUCACCUGUAUAUAGCAGUUGAAAUUUUUUUGCAGGGACCUUGACAUUAUAGUUACUAUAGAAACUUAAUAGACUGCCAAUUUAUGAUUAAUAUGAUUAACAUAUUUCUUAUUUUGAGGCUCAGUGGCACAUUAGUUAUGGUCCCUGAUUUGUGACUUCACACCACCCAAGAUUAGGGCUUUAUAUCAUUUCAAUAACAUUGGAUUAUUCCAUGUUAAAAAGCUACAUUGAUUUAGUUUGUGGAAAGUCAGUAUUUCAAGAUGCCAAAUUGUGCCAGAAAUAUUCUUUGUAAGGAUCAUCCUCGAGUUUCCAUCACCCUAAAAGCUACAAAAGUUGUACUGCAGCAUUAAGAUUAUUUGUGUGAAAGAAAAUGAUUAUAUAUUGUUCAUAUAGCAAUUUUUACAAAUUAAAAAACAUUGCUGGGGCAAACUGAAAAUACUGUACGGAAUCUUCUACAAAAACAUGGAUAAAAAUAUUUUUUGAACCUUUAUGGGUGUCUAAAUAAAAUUACCUAAAAAUAGUAUGUCAUCAAGUGGUGUCAAGGUCAUUGCAAGCUAUUUCAAUCACUGGCUUUAUCUUUGUUAAUAAUAUUGAUAGUUUAAAUUUGUUAUAAACCUGUAUGCUGUUUACACAAUCACAAAAAAACACACAAAAAAACAUACACACUCAAGCAAAGUAACAUUGAUGUUAUAUUAUACAAAGUGACCACCUACUUAUAUUGAUUAUUAAUUUCUAAAUAUAUUUGAACCAAACUAUGCAAUUUAUUUUUGUAAUGCAAUAGUUAUAUAGCCUGCAAUAUAUGUAUAUAAAUUUUAUUCUUUUUAAGCUUGCUUGCUUUUUAUUAAGUCUUCUAUAAGAGUUAAAUAUUUCUUAUGUUAAGAAAUAUUCUAUAAUCAGAAACACUGUUCUUAUUAUAUAUUGUUAUGUUUGAAAAUCUCCAGAUUUACCAUAUUAAGUAAAUACUUUGUAAAUAUGAAA
This is a long non-coding RNA of Ruditapes philippinarum (Manila clam), 2637 nucleotides long. RefSeq lists it as uncharacterized. The record is from RefSeq and is a predicted model, not a curated record. NCBI's taxonomy places the organism in Eukaryota, Metazoa, Mollusca, Bivalvia, Venerida, Veneridae. The transcript has 2 exons.